GACGUAGGGAGCGAGCGUUGUCCGGAUUCAUUGGGCGUAAAGAGCGCGCAGGCGGCUUGGUAAGUCGGAUGUGAAAACCCGGAGCUCAACUCCGGGCGUGCAUCCGAUACUGCCCGGCUAGAGGUAGGUAGGGGAGAUCGGAAUUCCUGGUGUAGCGGUGGAAUGCGCAGAUAUCAGGAGGAACACCAGCGGCGAAGGCGGGUAGCUGGGCCAACACUGACGCUGAUGCGCGAAAGCUAGGGGAGCGAACGGG
RNAcentral lists this ribosomal RNA (253 nucleotides) under uncultured bacterium. RNAcentral describes it as "partial 16S ribosomal RNA". It matches the Rfam family "Bacterial small subunit ribosomal RNA", at positions 524 to 776 of the family's 1533-position model. The record is from RNAcentral.